UCAUUGCACACACAUGAAUGUUGCAGUAAACCCGGGCCCCUCGGGGCUCGGGAUGUCGGCUUGCGAAGUACCACAAUGUCCCUCUUUACAUAAUAGUCCCGGCCUGUGCGGACGCCUCCUUUCAUUCGGGGGGUUCCUUCCUUCUUCGGGGGGAGGGGAUCCGCGCGAGCUCGAACGAAGCGAGGGGCCCGCACAGCACCCGGGCGUGUUGCCACGCUAUGCCCGAACGCUUUGACCCACGACUGAGUCCCUUAGACGCUUUUUUGAGGAGUUGGAUUAUUUUUGGCGACGCGAGUCCCUUCCCUUACUUCGAAGGAAGGAAGGACUCGCGUCGGUGGAGACCCACCCCGAUGGAGUUAGUUGAAUCUAUAACUUAGAAACAACUCUCAGCAACGGAUAUCUUGGCUCUUGCAACGAUGAAGAACGCAGCGAAAUGCGAUACGUAGUGUGAAUUGCAGAAUUCCGCGAAUCAUCGAGUCUUUGAACGCAAGUUGCGCCCGAGGCUUGUCCGAGGGCAUUUCCGCUAGAGCGUCACCGCGCUCCCCCACCGACCCGCCAAGGUCGAGUGGAAUUGGCCGUCCCGAUGCCCCCCCUAAAGGGGACCGGGUCGGCUGAAAUGGAUGGAAUUUGGCCGUCGCGGCGACGGAGCCCGCGAUCAGGUGAUCCGAGCGCAAGCCCGGAACUCAAACGUGCGCGGCUUCGUCGCCCAGUUGGAUCGAGUUGGAAUAAUAAUAAUGAGAAGCAGGUCCGCGCGACCCCGAACCCUGAAAGGGGCGCGCGAAUGGGUCACGCAUCAGA
This 798-nucleotide small RNA is filed under the name Breutelia chrysea. Its description in RNAcentral is "eukaryotic LSU rRNA". The stretch from base 382 to 534 matches the Rfam family "5.8S ribosomal RNA". Lineage: Eukaryota; Viridiplantae; Streptophyta; Bryopsida; Bartramiales; Bartramiaceae. The record is from RNAcentral.